RNAcentral lists this long non-coding RNA (253 nucleotides) under Bos taurus (domestic cattle). RNAcentral's name for it is "long non-coding RNA NONBTAT008062". The record is from RNAcentral. Lineage: Eukaryota; Metazoa; Chordata; Mammalia; Artiodactyla; Bovidae.
CGCAGCAUAUUUGUCUAAAAGCUGCUACCAACGCAUAAAGGCGGGGCCCCUGCUUCUACCUCAUCAGGGCCAGUCUGAAAGAUGGGGCUUGGUUUCCAGCCUUCAGGGGGACACUAAAGCCACAUUUGCUUCCAAGGAGGGUGUUAAUGAGGACGGAAGGCCCAAAGUGCACACAGAGAAGAGAUGAAAAUGGUCUGGAAAAUAUGAACUGUGUACUCACCCUUCAAACAAGGGAGGAAUGAUUCUAACAUUG